RNAcentral lists this ribosomal RNA (647 nucleotides) under uncultured bacterium. RNAcentral's name for it is "bacterial SSU rRNA". It matches the Rfam family "Bacterial small subunit ribosomal RNA", at positions 393 to 1030 of the family's 1533-position model. The record is from RNAcentral.
UAUGCCGCGUGAGUGAAGAAGGCCUUCGGGUUGUAAAGCUCUUUUGUCAGGGAAGAAACACCGGCUCUAACACAGUCCGGGAAUGACGGUACCUGAAGAAUAAGCACCGGCUAACUACGUGCCAGCAGCCGCGGUAAUGCGCAGGGUGCGAGCGUUAAUCGGAAUUACUGGGCGUAAAGCGUGCGCAGGCGGUUGUACAAGACAGGCGUGAAAUCCCCGGGCUUAACCUGGGAAUGGCGCCUGUGACUGUACGGCUAGAGUGUGUCAGAGGGGGGUAGAAUUCCACGUGUAGCAGUGAAAUGCGUAGAUAUGUGGAGGAAUACCAAUGGCGAAGGCAGCCCCCUGGGAUAACACUGACGCUCAUGCACGAAAGCGUGGGGAGCAAACAGGAUUAGAUACCCUGGUAGUCCACGCCCUAAACGAUGCUGACUAGUUGUUCGGGAUUUACAUCCUGAGUAACGUAGCUAACGCGUGAAGUCAGCCGCCUGGGGAGUACGGUCGCAAGAUUAAAACUCAAAGGAAUUGACGGGGACCCGCACAAGCGGUGGAUGAUGUGGAUUAAUUCGAUGCAACGCGAAAAACCUUAGCUACCCUUGACAUGUCACUAACGAAGUAGAGAUACAUUAGGGUGCUCGUAAGAGAAAGUG